UAGGGAAUCUUCGGCAAUGGACGGAAGUCUGACCGAGCAACGCCGCGUGAGUGAAGAAGGUUUUCGGAUCGUAAAGCUCUGUUGUAAGAGAAGAACGAGUGUGAGAGUGGAAAGUUCACACUGUGACGGUAUCUUACCAGAAAGGGACGGCUAACUACGUGCCAACAGCCGCGGUAAUACGUAGGUCCCGAGCGUUGUCCGGAUUUAUUGGGCGUAAAGCGAGCGCAGGCGGUUAGAUAAGUCUGAAGUUAAAGGCUGUGGCUUAACCAUAGUAGGCUUUGGAAACUGUUUAACUUGAGUGCAAGAGGGGAGAGUGGAAUUCCAUGUGUAGCGGUGAAAUGCGUAGAUAUAUGGAGGAACACCGGUGGCGAAAGCGGCUCUCUGGCUUGUAACUGACGCUGAGGCUCGAAAGCGUGGGGAGCAAACAGGAUUAGAUACCCUGGUAGUCCACGCUGUAAACGAUGAGUGCUAGGUGUUAGACCCUUUCCGGGGUUUAGUGCCGUAGCUAACGCAUUAAGCACUCCGCCUGGGGAGUACGACCGCAAGGUUG
RNAcentral lists this ribosomal RNA (550 nucleotides) under uncultured bacterium. RNAcentral describes it as "bacterial SSU rRNA". It matches the Rfam family "Bacterial small subunit ribosomal RNA", at positions 355 to 896 of the family's 1533-position model. The record is from RNAcentral.